GACGAACGCUGGCGGCGUGCUUAACACAUGCAAGUCGAACGGACAGGCCCUGCUUUUGUUGGGUUCUCGAUUGGCGAACGGGUGAGUAACACGUGAGUAACCUGCCCUUGACUUUGGGAUAACUUCAGGAAACUGGGGCUAAUACCGGAUAGGAUCUCCUGCUGCAUGGUGGGGGUUGGAAAGUUUCGGCGGUUGGGGAUGGACUCGCGGCUUAUCAGCUUGUUGGUGGGGUAGUGGCUUACCAAGGCUUUGACGGGUAGCCGGCCUGAGAGGGUGACCGGCCACAUUGGGACUGAGAUACGGCCCAGACUGCUACGGGAGGCAGCAGUGGGGAAUAUUGCACAAUGGGCGGAAGCCUGAUGCAGCAACGCCGCGUGCGGGAUGACGGCCUUCGGGUUGUAAACCGCUUUCGCCUGUGACGAAGAGUGAGUGACGGUAAUGGGUAAAGAAGCACCGGCUAACUACGUG
Molecule: ribosomal RNA, 468 nt
Filed under: uncultured bacterium
Lineage: Bacteria
Description: partial 16S ribosomal RNA
Rfam family: Bacterial small subunit ribosomal RNA
Source: RNAcentral